RNA transcript from Quercus robur (English oak), 4146 nucleotides. It is a transcript of the gene named pentatricopeptide repeat-containing protein At3g26782, mitochondrial-like, with no coding region annotated. NCBI's taxonomy places the organism in Eukaryota, Viridiplantae, Streptophyta, Magnoliopsida, Fagales, Fagaceae. The record is from RefSeq and is a predicted model, not a curated record. The transcript has 5 exons.
AUAUAAAAUAAUUUACGCUUAAAAUAUUUAGACAAAGAUAAAAUAUCUUCAGUCAAUCAAAUUAACUUAAACAAAUUUACGUAAAAUAUGUUAUGCUUAAAAUUUUUGGAAAACAUUUUACAUUUGGUCAACAGCCCAAUACUUAUCACUCUCGCACUUUCGCGCUAAAAUUCUCCCUCUCGAAUAUCUUUCCAAAAAAAAAUCCAGCCACUCUCUCAGAUUUCUCUAAAAAAAACCCAGCCACCUUCUCCCGCCAAUCUCCAGCUCCAAGGCAUCACCGGCCAGCUCCAACUUCCGCCGGCGCCGCCCAUCGCCGGCAAAACCAGGUUCGAUUUCUACUCCUUGCUGGAAAAACAACUCAAAGUUUCAGGGGAUGUUUUGGCGUUAACAUUGCUGAUUUUCUGCAUAGACCACCAUUUCCAGAAUUCUAUAUGCGAAUUUGUGUAAAGAAGCUAGCUGCAUUGAAUCCUCCACACUGUCAGUUACGUUUUGUCUUCUACCAUGCAGAAGCACAAACCAAGUUCCUUCUCCAACCAAUUGAGCCGGACACGUGUGUCUCAUUGAUCAAGCAAUGCAGGACCUUUCGAUCUUUGCAAUCUGUCCACACUUCCAUGCUCAAAUCACAUCUUCACCUAAACCUCUUUUUUUCAACCAACCUCAUUGCCCAAUAUGCCUCUCUAGGAUCCAUGUCUCAUGCCUACACCCUUUUCUCAACCUUCCAAUCCAAUGAUGUCUUCCUUUGGAAUGUAAUGAUCCAAGGCUUUGUUGACAAUGGCCUAUAUUACCGUUCCAUGCUUCUGUACAGCCAAAUGCGAGAACUGGGAAUUCAACCUGACAAUUUUACUUUUCCUUUUGUUCUCAAGGCAUGUGGAUGUGUUAAGGAUGUCAAAUUUGGGGUUAUAGUUCAUGGCAACGUGAUGGAAUUUGGCUAUGUAUCAGAUGUUUAUGUUGGUAAUUCACUCAUUUCCAUGUAUGGUAAGUGUGAGCAUCUUGAUACUUCUCGGCUAGUUUUUGACAAAAUGCCCCAAAAAAAUAUAGUCUCUUGGAGUUCAAUGAUUGGUGCAUAUGCUCAAAAUGGGCAUUAUGAAGAAGGAGUGUUGCUGUUCUCACAGAUGUUGGGUGAAGGAAUCAGACCAAACAGGGCUGUUAUAUUAAAUGUUAUGGCAUGUGUAAAUAGAGGAAAUGAGGCUGAUGAUAUAUGUAGAGUUGUGAUAGAUAAUGGACUUGAUUUUGAUCGAUCUGUCCAAAAUGCAGCAAUGGUAAUGUAUGCACGAUGUGGGAGAAUUGACAUUGCUCGAAGAUUCUUUGAUGGAAUCCUUGAGAAGGAUUUGGUGUCUUGGGCAUCCAUGAUUGAAGCUUAUGCUCAAGCUGAUUUGUCUCUUGAAGCCUUAAAGCUCUUUAAACAGAUGAUAUUACAAAGAAUUUUACUUGAUUCGGUGACCCUUUUGAGUGUGAUUCAUGCUUGUUCAAAUUUAGCAUCUUUCCAGCAUGCACGCUGCGUUCAUGGGAUCAUUACUCGUAGAUUUUACAAAAACCAAAUAGCACUUGAAACUUCUCUAAUCGAUCUCUAUGUAAAAUGUGGAAGUUUGGUAUAUGCUAGAAAAUAUUUUGAUAAGAUGCAGGAAAGAAAUAUAGUCUCAUGGAGUACAUUAAUUUCAGGAUAUGGAAUACAUGGCAAUGGUAGAGAAGCGCUCUACCUAUUUGAUCAGAUGAAGUCCUCAAUAAAGCCAGACCAUGUUGCAUUUUUGUCGGUCUUGUCUGCUUGCAGUCAUGGUGGAUUGAUUGUCGAAGGAUGGGAAUGCUUCAAUUCCAUGAGUAGAGAUUUUCAGGUUACACCAAGACCUGAACAUUAUGCCUGUAUGGUUGACCUCUUGGGUCGAGCUGGUCGACUAAAUGAAGCCCGUGAUUUUAUUGAGAGAAUGCCUACAAGGCCAGAUGCUGGUGUCUGGGGAGCCUUUCUUGGGGCAUGUAGAAUUCAUUUAAAUGUAGAACUAGCUGAAGUUGCUGCAAAAUAUUUAUUUGAGUUAGAUGCAGAUAACCCUGGUCGGUAUGUUCUCUUGUCCAAUAUUUACUCAUCAUCAGGCAAAAGAAAUGAUGCUGAUAGGGUUAGAGCUCUAAUGAAACGAAGAGGGGUGAGGAAAAUUGCUGGCCAUACAAUUAUAGAGAUUGAAAACAAGGUCUAUACUUUUGUGGCUGGGGAUCAGUCAAACCCCCAAACUAGUUUGAUCUAUACAGAGUUGGAGAAGAUGAUAAAUAGAAUUCGAGAAGUUGGGUACAUGCCUGAUCUGAACUUUGUAUUGCACGAUGUGGAGGAAGAGAUGAAGGAGAAGAUGUUAAAUGUGCAUAGUGAGAAGCUGGCAAUUGUUUUUGGGCUAUUAAAUACAAGACCUGAUAGUGUCAUUAGAAUAAAGAAGAAUCUUAGAGUUUGUGGGGACUGUCAUACGGCUACCAAGUUUAUCUCUAAGGUUACAGAAAGGGAAAUCAUUGUUAGAGAUGCUCAUCGAUUUCACCAUUUUAAGGAAGGAGCAUGCUCUUGUGGAGAUUAUUGGUGAUGAUAUUUCAGUCUGAUUUCUAGUGAAGGAUUUUUUUGUAAUGAAGAUGAGAAAUGCUGCUAAGAUUAGGCGAGAACUCAAACAAGCAUGACCAAUAAAUAUGUUAGGUAAUUUUGAGAAAGCUCUCAUCCCUCUUUUUGUUACAUUCUUUAGGAAGCUUACCAUUUUGAGCUCUCCUUCUUUUGAAUAAAAUACAUUAUUUUUCAAAACAGAAAAGAGAAAGCUCUCAUCUUUCCUAGGAUGCUGGCUGGAGCAAGGUAUAGACUGAAAAGAAUUAAAAAAGGAAAAAAGGAGAAGAAGCAAGGUAUAGACAAAAAUGCAAGGCACCUGUCUUUUAUCAUGGAUUUGUUCAUAAUCUCCAUGAUCUAUUUUAAGCUCUUCUCAGAAAAAGGGGAAAGUGACCCCACUUGUUUAAACGGUUGUUUGAAAUAAAAAUUAUCUUGUGAAAUACUCCAGAUGUUUUAUUUAAGCCCGAUCUAUGUCUAAAUAAUAAAAUUUUCUAGUGAAUUAUGCUGGAUAUUUUACCAAAAGCUUGAUCUUUUAGGUGUGGUUUGGUAUUGGGUGAUUCUCUUGCAUGUACUCAAGUCAUCAAGGCCAACCUGGGUAGACUUUAAGGGAAAAGAUCUAACUGCAUAACUGAGUGGAUUUCUUAGUUGAAACAGUCUAAAUUAGAAAAUUAAAUUGAUUAGGUAUGGGCUGUAUGGCUUGAUAUUUUCUUGAAAUAGACUGAAUUUGACCAUUUGUUUUUGUAACUAAAAGCUUUGUAACUCAACUAGUACUUCUCGGUGUUUCCAAUUCAGAUGUCUAGGGUUCAAAUACCCCCACCCCCAACUAUUAAAUUUUUUAUGGGUCAUGUUAACGGGAUGCCCUUAGGGCAAAUGUUAAUAAAUUAUAUUAGGAAAGUUUUUAAGACCACUUUCAUGGGAAGUAUAAAAAGUUGUCAAAAAAAAUUAAUUGCUUUAUCAUUUUUUCAUAAUAUAUUUCUAAAAAUAGUUUCUAAACCAAUGUUUUUAAGCCAUUUGUUAACAUUUCCCAUUAUUUAUUCAUUUUAUAAACUGUCGGUUUAAGAUACUAUCCUGAAGGUCUCAGAUAAUUUUUUCCUUCUUAAUAAGCUACUAUAUUGGAAUAUCAAAAAUUUUUAGUUCAGCUUGCACAGGAACUGGUUCAGUGAUGUGGUCCUAAACAAGAUCAUUUUUUUUCUUCCUGUUCCUAAUGGAAUUUCUGAUACGUGAACUCAUUCUUGUUUUGCUGAGGAUCUAUUACUGCAACUCUGUAAUGUGAAUCAAUAAUUCUAUUAUGCAUCAGCCAUAUAUAGCAGGUCUCAAUGUGUACGAGAUAUUUCUUCCAUGUGUGAAGGGAAGCCAGAAUGGUCAUUCCCUUGAAGACAUUACGUGGAAAUUAUGUUGUUUAAAGAAGAAUUAGGGGUCUGUUUAAUUUAUAUAUAUUUCAUAUCUUUGAACAAGAAAAUGUCAGGCAUAUGCCUUUUCUUACAUGAAAGCUCGUCCAUAAAUCUUCGAGAAGUACUAUUUUCAUUGUUUAUGUUCUUAUUUUUAGGGUGCUUAAGAAAUUGGAGUUUUGGUGUCCGUUUAGAUCA